GAUGAAGAACGUAGCGAAAUGCGAUAAGUAAUGUGAAUUGCAGAAUUCAGUGAAUCAUCGAAUCUUUGAACGCACAUUGCGCCCGCCAGUAUUCUGGCGGGCAUGCCUGUUCGAGCGUCAUUUCAACCAUCAAGCCCCCGGCUUGUGUUGGGGACCUGCGGCUGCCGCAGGCCCUGAAAACCAGUGGCGGGCUCGCUAGUCACUCCGAGCGUAGUAAUACAUCUAGCUCAGGGCGUGCUGCGGGUUCCGGCCGUUAAAAGCCUUAUUUACCCAAGGUUGACCUCGGAUCAGGUAGGAAGACCCGCUGAACUUAAGCAUAUCAAUAAGCGGAGGA
RNAcentral lists this unclassified non-coding RNA (334 nucleotides) under soil metagenome. Its description in RNAcentral is "partial contains 5.8S ribosomal RNA, internal transcribed spacer 2, and large subunit ribosomal RNA". The stretch from base 1 to 120 matches the Rfam family "5.8S ribosomal RNA", at positions 35 to 154 of the family's 154-position model. The record is from RNAcentral.